UUGAAACAGAGAAGGCUGUGGGAGAAGAAACUACUAAAGAAAAGCAGGCAGAUGACACAGAGAAGGCUGCGGGAGAAGAACCUGCUAAAGAAAAGCAGGCAGAUGACGCGAAAAGUACAGUUGAGCCGUUCACACCAGUGAGUUCGUUUCAACAGUUGUCUAGCAGUCAAAAUGCUUUUACUGGCCUUGCAGGAACUGGAUUCUCAACGUCUUCAUUUUCUUUUGGAUCAUUUGCCAAAGAGGGCUCUACGUUCAGUACUGGAUCCUUUUUCGAGUCUAAGAAUGGAAGUGCAUCAUUCUCUACAUUUGCAACUGGAAGCUCUAACAAUGGUAGUCCUCCCUUUUCAUUGUUUGGUAUUCCUGCAUCAGAUGCCACUAAGAAUGGGGGGAUGGCUACCAUAACUCCGAUGCAGGAUGUGCCUAUUGAGACCGGUGAAGAGAAUGAGAAGGCAGUAUUUACUUCUGAUGCGGUAUUGUACGAGUAUUUAGAUGGAGGGUGGAAAGAACGUGGAAAGGGUGAACUCAAAGUGAACAUCUCUAUAUCUGAUACCGAGAAAGCAAGGCUUGUUAUGAGGGCUCGGGGUAACUAUAGGCUGAUCUUGAAUGCAAGUCUGUAUGCUGAUAUGACACUUACGAAUAUGGAUAAAAAGGGCGUCACUUUUGCUUGUGUGAAUAGUGCUGGAGAAGGAAAGAGUGGGCUGACUACUUUUGCUCUGAAAUUUCGGGAUAGUGCUCUCAUGGAGGAGUUCCGAGGAGUUGUGACAGCACACAAAGGAAAGG
This 780-nucleotide unclassified non-coding RNA is filed under the name Hevea brasiliensis (rubber tree). The record is from RNAcentral. Lineage: Eukaryota; Viridiplantae; Streptophyta; Magnoliopsida; Malpighiales; Euphorbiaceae.